UACGGAGGGUGCAAGCGUUGCUCGGAAUUAUCGGGCGUAAAGGGCAGGUAGGUGGUCUUAUUUGUCCGGGGUGAAAUCCUUGAGCUUAACUCAAGAAGUGCCCCGGAGACGGUGAGACUAGAGUUUUGGAGAGGGUCGUGGAAUUCCCGGUGUAGCGGUGAAAUGCGUAGAGAUCGGGAGGAACACCAGAGGCGAAAGCGGCGACCUGGACAAUGACUGACACUCAACUGCGAAAGCGUGGGGAGCAAACAGG
Molecule: ribosomal RNA, 253 nt
Filed under: uncultured bacterium
Lineage: Bacteria
Description: partial 16S ribosomal RNA
Rfam family: Bacterial small subunit ribosomal RNA
Source: RNAcentral